This 400-nucleotide ribosomal RNA is filed under the name phytoplankton environmental sample. RNAcentral's name for it is "partial small subunit ribosomal RNA". It matches the Rfam family "Eukaryotic small subunit ribosomal RNA", at positions 587 to 974 of the family's 1831-position model. The record is from RNAcentral.
AGCUCCAGUAGCGUAUGCUAAAGUUGUUGCAGUUAAAAAGCUCGUAGUUGUGUUUUAUUUUCUUUUUGAGGUUAUUUACUGAGCUCUUUGCGAGUUUAUGAUGAUAUUUCGGAAGAAAAUGAUAUUUCGUUUUUUGUGGUGUUUUUGCCUUGACUGACAAAAUUUCCAUAAAGACGACGUUCACUGUGAGAAAAUUAGAGUGUUCAAAGCAAGUGCAAACUGAAUACGUUAGCAUGGAAUGAUAACAAAGGACUCGCUAUUCUUUUGUCGGUUAUGAGAAUAACAAGUAAUGACUGAUAGAGACGGAACGGGGGUGCUAGUACUGACUGGCCAGAGGUGAAAUUCAGUGACCCAGUCAAGACUAACUACUGCGAAAGCAUUCACCAAGCACGUCUUCUUU